AGCAGCCGCGGUAAUUCCAGCUCCAAUAGCGUAUAUUAAAGUUGUUGCAGUUAAAAAGCUCGUAGUUGAAUUUCGGGAUCAAAGAAUCGGUCAUGCCUUGGUAUGUACUGGUUUUAUUGGUUCUCACCUUCUAAAGAACCAUGAUGUCAUUCAUUUGAUGUUAUGGGGAAUUAGGACUGUUACCUUGAAAAAUUAGAGUGUUUAAAGCAAGCUUACGCUUGAAUACAUUAGCAUGGAAUAAUGAAAUAGGACAUCAGAUUCUAUUUUGUUGGUUUCUAGGAUCGAUGUAAUGAUUAAUAGGGAUAGUUGGGGGCAUUAGUAUUCAAUUGUCAGAGGUGAAAUUCUUGGAUUUAUUGAAGACUAAUUACUGCGAAAGCAUUUGCCAAGGAUGUUUUCAUUAAUCAAGAACGAAAGUUAGGGGAUCGAAGACGAUCAGAUACCGUCGUAGUCUUAACCAUAAACUAUGCCGACUAGGGAUCGGAUGAUGUUAAUUUUUAAUGACUCU
This 505-nucleotide unclassified non-coding RNA is filed under the name uncultured Glomus. Its description in RNAcentral is "SSU rRNA". It matches the Rfam family "Eukaryotic small subunit ribosomal RNA", at positions 569 to 1078 of the family's 1831-position model. Lineage: Eukaryota; Fungi; Glomeromycota; Glomeromycetes; Glomerales; Glomeraceae. The record is from RNAcentral.